GGCAGGGUACAGCUCAGUGGUAGAGCCCAUGCUUAGCAUGCAUGAGGUCCUGGGUUCAAUCCCCAGUACUGCCA
RNAcentral lists this transfer RNA (74 nucleotides) under Camelus bactrianus (Bactrian camel). It matches the Rfam family "tRNA". Rfam says of the family: Transfer RNA (tRNA) molecules are approximately 80 nucleotides in length. Their secondary structure includes four short double-helical elements and three loops (D, anti-codon, and T loops). RNAcentral also lists the same sequence under 2 other names. Lineage: Eukaryota; Metazoa; Chordata; Mammalia; Artiodactyla; Camelidae. The record is from Rfam by way of RNAcentral.